RNAcentral lists this ribosomal RNA (139 nucleotides) under Elizabethkingia argenteiflava. RNAcentral's name for it is "partial 16S ribosomal RNA". It matches the Rfam family "Bacterial small subunit ribosomal RNA", at positions 1 to 139 of the family's 1533-position model. Lineage: Bacteria; Pseudomonadati; Bacteroidota; Flavobacteriia; Flavobacteriales; Weeksellaceae. The record is from RNAcentral.
UACAAUGGAGAGAUUGAUCCUGGCUCAGGAUGAACGCUAGCGGGAGGCCUAACACAUGCAAGCCGAGCGGUAUAGAUUCUUCGGGAUCUAGAGAGCGGCGAACGGGUGCGGAACACGUGUGCAACCUGCCCUUAUCAGG